UAGGGAAUCUUCCGCAAUGGACGCAAGUCUGACGGAGCAACGCCGCGUGAGUGAAGAAGGAUUUCGGUUCGUAAAACUCUGUUGUUAGAGAAGAACAGCGCAUAGAGUAACUGUUAUGCGUGUGACGGUAUCUAACCAGAAAGCCACGGCUAACUACGUGCCAGCAGCCGCGGUAAUACGUAGGUGGCAAGCGUUGUCCGGAUUUAUUGGGCGUAAGCGAGCGCAGGCGGUCAAUUAAGUCUGAUGUGAAAGCCCCCGGCUCAACCGGGGAGGGUCAUUGGAAACUGGUUGACUUGAGUGCAGAAGAGGAGAGUGGAAUUCCAUGUGUAGCGGUGAAAUGCGUAGAUAUAUGGAGGAACACCAGUGGCGAAGGCGACUCUCUGGUCUGUAACUGACGCUGAGGCUCGAAAGCGUGGGUAGCAAACAGG
This 428-nucleotide ribosomal RNA is filed under the name Bacteroidota bacterium. Its description in RNAcentral is "Bacteroidetes bacterium partial 16S ribosomal RNA". It matches the Rfam family "Bacterial small subunit ribosomal RNA", at positions 355 to 776 of the family's 1533-position model. The record is from RNAcentral. Lineage: Bacteria; Pseudomonadati; Bacteroidota.